AUGAACGCUAGCGACAGGCUUAACACAUGCAAGUCGAGGGGUAACAGGUAGCAAUACCGCUGACGACCGGCGCACGGGUGAGUAACGCGUAUGCAACCUGCCUAGUAACUGGGGAAUAGCUCCCGUGAAAGGGGAAUUAACACCGCAUAACACUAUUGAUUCGCAUGGAUUGGUAGUUAAAUGUAGCGAUACAGGUUAUAGAUGGGCAUGCGUGACAUUAGCUAGUUGGUGAGGUAACGGCUCACCAAGGCUACGAUGUCUAGGGUUCUGAGAGGAAGGUCCCCACACUGGUACUGAGACACGGACCAGACUCCUACGGGAGGCAGCAGUGAGGAAUAUUGGUCAAUGGGCGCAAGCCUGAACCAGCCAUGUCGCGUGCAGGAAGGCUGCCCCUAUGGGUUGUAAACUGCUUUUAUAGUAGAAGAAACACAUCUACGUGUAGAUGUCUGCCAGUAUACUAUGAAUAAGCAUCGGCUAACUCCGUGCCAGCCGCCGC
RNAcentral lists this ribosomal RNA (496 nucleotides) under uncultured bacterium. RNAcentral's name for it is "bacterial SSU rRNA". It matches the Rfam family "Bacterial small subunit ribosomal RNA", at positions 29 to 518 of the family's 1533-position model. The record is from RNAcentral.